AGCGUACACGGUGGAUGCCCUGGCAGUCAGAGGCGAUGAAGGACGUGCUAAUCUGCGAUAAGCGUCGGUGAGGUGAUAUGAACCGUUAUAACCGGCGAUUUCCGAAUGGGGAAACCCAGUGUGUUUCGACACACUAUCAUUAACUGAAUCCAUAGGUUAAUGAGGCGAACCGGGGGAACUGAAACAUCUAAGUACCCCGAGGAAAAGAAAUCAACCGAGAUUCCCCCAGUAGCGGCGAGCGAACGGGGAGGAGCCCAGAGCCUGAAUCAGUGUGUGUGUUAGUGGAAGCGUCUGGAAAGGCGCGCGAUACAGGGUGACAGCCCCGUACACAAAAAUGCACAUACUGUGAGCUCGAUGAGUAGGGCGGGACACGUGGUAUCCUGUCUGAAUAUGGGGGGACCAUCCUCCAAGGCUAAAUACUCCUGACUGACCGAUAGUGAACCAGUACCGUGAGGGAAAGGCGAAAAGAACCCCGGCGAGGGGAGUGAAAAAGAACCUGAAACCGUGUACGUACAAGCAGUGGGAGCCUCUUAAUGGGGUGACUGCGUACCUUUUGUAUAAUGGGUCAGCGACUUAUAUUCUGUAGCAAGGUUAACCGAAUAGGGGAGCCGAAGGGAAACCGAGUCUUAACUGGGCGUUAAGUUGCAGGGUAUAGACCCGAAACCCGGUGAUCUAGCCAUGGGCAGGUUGAAGGUUGGGUAACACUAACUGGAGGACCGAACCGACUAAUGUUGAAAAAUUAGCGGAUGACUUGUGGCUGGGGGUGAAAGGCCAAUCAAACCGGGAGAUAGCUGGUUCUCCCCGAAAGCUAUUUAGGUAGCGCCUCGUGAAUUCAUCUCCGGGGGUAGAGCACUGUUUCGGCAAGGGGGUCAUCCCGACUUACCAACCCGAUGCAAACUGCGAAUACCGGAGAAUGUUAUCACGGGAGACACACGGCGGGUGCUAACGUCCGUCGUGAAGAGGGAAACAACCCAGACCGCCAGCUAAGGUCCCAAAGUCAUGGUUAAGUGGGAAACGAUGUGGGAAGGCCCAGACAGCCAGGAUGUUGGCUUAGAAGCAGCCAUCAUUUAAAGAAAGCGUAAUAGCUCACUGGUCGAGUCGGCCUGCGCGGAAGAUGUAACGGGGCUAAACCAUGCACCGAAGCUGCGGCAGCGACACUAUGUGUUGUUGGGUAGGGGAGCGUUCUGUAAGCCUGUGAAGGUGGCCUGUGAGGGUUGCUGGAGGUAUCAGAAGUGCGAAUGCUGACAUAAGUAACGAUAAAGCGGGUGAAAAGCCCGCUCGCCGGAAGACCAAGGGUUCCUGUCCAACGUUAAUCGGGGCAGGGUGAGUCGACCCCUAAGGCGAGGCCGAAAGGCGUAGUCGAUGGGAAACAGGUUAAUAUUCCUGUACUUGGUGUUACUGCGAAGGGGGGACGGAGAAGGCUAUGUUGGCCGGGCGACGGUUGUCCCGGUUUAAGCGUGUAGGCUGGUUUUCCAGGCAAAUCCGGAAAAUCAAGGCUGAGGCGUGAUGACGAGGCACUACGGUGCUGAAGCGACAAAUGCCCUGCUUCCAGGAAAAGCCUCUAAGCAUCAGGUAACAUCAAAUCGUACCCCAAACCGACACAGGUGGUCAGGUAGAGAAUACCAAGGCGCUUGAGAGAACUCGGGUGAAGGAACUAGGCAAAAUGGUGCCGUAACUUCGGGAGAAGGCACGCUGAUAUGUAGGUGAAGCGACUUGCUCGUGGAGCUGAAAUCAGUCGAAGAUACCAGCUGGCUGCAACUGUUUAUUAAAAACACAGCACUGUGCAAACACGAAAGUGGACGUAUACGGUGUGACGCCUGCCCGGUGCCGGAAGGUUAAUUGAUGGGGUUAGCGGUAACGCGAAGCUCUUGAUCGAAGCCCCGGUAAACGGCGGCCGUAACUAUAACGGUCCUAAGGUAGCGAAAUUCCUUGUCGGGUAAGUUCCGACCUGCACGAAUGGCGUAAUGAUGGCCAGGCUGUCUCCACCCGAGACUCAGUGAAAUUGAACUCGCUGUGAAGAUGCAGUGUACCCGCGGCAAGACGGAAAGACCCCGUGAACCUUUACUAUAGCUUGACACUGAACAUUGAGCCUUGAUGUGUAGGAUAGGUGGGAGGCUUUGAAGUGUGGACGCCAGUCUGCAUGGAGCCGACCUUGAAAUACCACCCUUUAAUGUUUGAUGUUCUAACGUGGGCCCCUUACCGGGGUUGCGGACAGUGUCUGGUGGGUAGUUUGACUGGGGCGGUCUCCUCCUAAAGAGUAACGGAGGAGCACGAAGGUUGGCUAAUCCUGGUCGGACAUCAGGAGGUUAGUGCAAUGGCAUAAGCCAGCUUGACUGCGAGCGUGACGGCGCGAGCAGGUGCGAAAGCAGGUCAUAGUGAUCCGGUGGUUCUGAAUGGAAGGGCCAUCGCUCAACGGAUAAAAGGUACUCCGGGGAUAACAGGCUGAUACCGCCCAAGAGUUCAUAUCGACGGCGGUGUUUGGCA
Molecule: ribosomal RNA, 2484 nt
Filed under: human gut metagenome
Description: bacterial LSU rRNA
Rfam family: Bacterial large subunit ribosomal RNA
Source: RNAcentral